Molecule: ribosomal RNA, 280 nt
Filed under: uncultured bacterium
Lineage: Bacteria
Description: partial 16S ribosomal RNA
Rfam family: Bacterial small subunit ribosomal RNA
Source: RNAcentral
UGCCAGCCGCCGCGGUAAGACGGAGGGUGCGAACGUUAAUCGGAAUUACUGGGCGUAAAGCGCGCGAAGGCGGUUCGUUAAGUGGGAUGUGAAAGCCCCGGGCUCAACCCGGGAACUGCAUUCCAAACUGGCGAGCUAGAGUGUAGUAGAGGGAGGUGGAAUUUCCUGUGUAGCGGUGAAAUGCGUAGAUAUAGGAAGGAACACCAGUGGCGAAGGCGGCCUCCUGGACUAACACUGACGCUAUAUGUGCGAAAGCGUGGGGAGCAAACAGGAUUAGAUA